GUAUUCGGCUGGGGCACUCUAAAGGGACUGCCGGUGUUAAACCGGAGGAAGGUGGGGAUGACGUCAAGUCCUCAUGGCCUUUAUGACCAGGGCUACACACGUACUACAAUGGCCGAUACAAAGGGCAGCGACACUGCGAGGUGAAGCCAAUACCCGUAAAAUCGGUCUCAGUCCGGAUCGCAGUCUGCAACUCGACUGCGUGAAGUCGGAAUCGCUAGUAAUCGUGAAUCAGAAUGUCACGGUGAAUACGUUCCCGGGCCUU
RNAcentral lists this ribosomal RNA (262 nucleotides) under uncultured Desulfobulbus sp. RNAcentral describes it as "partial 16S ribosomal RNA". It matches the Rfam family "Bacterial small subunit ribosomal RNA", at positions 1122 to 1382 of the family's 1533-position model. Lineage: Bacteria; Pseudomonadati; Thermodesulfobacteriota; Desulfobulbia; Desulfobulbales; Desulfobulbaceae. The record is from RNAcentral.